AAUGACUCUCGGCAACG
This 17-nucleotide ribosomal RNA is filed under the name Medicago truncatula (barrel medic). RNAcentral's name for it is "partial 5.8S ribosomal RNA". The record is from RNAcentral. Lineage: Eukaryota; Viridiplantae; Streptophyta; Magnoliopsida; Fabales; Fabaceae.